AGAGUUUGAUCCUGGCUCAGGAUGAACGCUGGCGGCGUGCCUAACACAUGCAAGUCGAGCGGUAUAUACUUAAGCAAAUCUUCGGAAGAGCGAGAGUAUAGAGAGCGGCGGACGGGUGAGUAACGCGUAGGCAACCUGCCCCAUACAGAGGGAUAGCCUCGGGAAACCGGGAUUAAAACCUCAUAACGCGAGAAGUUCACAUGGACUUUUCGCCAAAGAUUUAUCGGUAUGGGAUGGGCCUGCGUCUGAUUAGCUAGUUGGUGGGGUAACGGCCUACCAAGGCAACGAUCAGUAGCCGACCUGAGAGGGUAAUCGGCCACAUUGGAACUGAGACACGGUCCAAACUCCUACGGGAGGCAGCAGUGGGGAAUAUUGCACAAUGGGCGAAAGCCUGAUGCAGCAACGCCGCGUGAGCGAUGAAGGCCUUUGGGUCGUAAAGCUCUGUCCUUGGGGAAGAAAAAAAUGACGGUACCCUUGGAGGAAGCCCCGGCUAACUACGUGCCAGCAGCCGCGGUAAUACGUAGGGGGCAAGCGUUAUCCGGAAUUAUUGGGCGUAAAGAGUGCGUAGGUGGUUUUGUAAGCGCGGGGUGAAAGGCAAUGGCUCAACUAUUGUAAGCCCUGCGAACUGUGAGACUUGAGUGCAGGAGAGGAAAGCGGAAUUCCUAGUGUAGCGGUGAAAUGCGUAGAUAUUAGGAGGAACACCAGUGGCGAAGGCGGCUUUCUGGACUGUAACUGACACUGAGGCACGAAAGCGUGGGGAGCAAACAGGAUUAGAUACCCUGGUAGUCCACGCCGUAAACGAUGAGCACUAGGUGUCGGGGCCGCAAGGCUUCGGUGCCGCAGUUAACGCAUUAAGUGCUCCGCCUGGGGGAGUACGCACGCAAGUGUGAAACUCAAAAUGACUGACGG
This 909-nucleotide ribosomal RNA is filed under the name uncultured bacterium. RNAcentral describes it as "bacterial SSU rRNA". It matches the Rfam family "Bacterial small subunit ribosomal RNA", at positions 8 to 916 of the family's 1533-position model. The record is from RNAcentral.